GCACAAGCUCCAAGCCAGUCUGGAUUAAGUAGCAAAACCCAGCUAACAAAACCACACAUACGUGCUACAAGCCCAAAGAGUCCCCACACAGCUGAGACAAGGUGUUGGUAUGUAACCCUGGCUGGCUAAGAACUUGCUAUGCAGGUCAAGCUGGUGUUGAAGUUGGAGUAGCUCCUACUGCCUCUGCCUUCCCAGGGCUGGGAUUACAGGUGUGAUUCUACGGAGAAAAAUUUCAGGCCUAUCGAGAUGACAUGAUAAAUAAAUGUAAUAAAAAUUCAAAGCAA
Peromyscus eremicus (cactus mouse) is the source of this 284-nucleotide long non-coding RNA. RefSeq lists it as uncharacterized. The record is from RefSeq and is a predicted model, not a curated record. NCBI's taxonomy places the organism in Eukaryota, Metazoa, Chordata, Mammalia, Rodentia, Cricetidae. The transcript is spliced from 2 exons.